AGCGAACGCUGGCGGCAGGCCUAACACAUGCAAGUCGAACGAACCUUUCGGGGUUAGUGGCGGACGGGUGAGUAACACGUGGGAACGUGCCUUUAGGUUCGGAAUAACUCAGGGAAACUUGUGCUAAUACCGAAUGUGCCCUUCGGGGGAAAGAUUAAUCGCCUUUAGAGCGGCCCGCGUCUGAUUAGCUAGUUGGUUGAGGUAAUGGCUCACCAAGGCGACGAUCAGUAGCUGGUCUGAGAGGAUGAUCAGCCACAUUGGGACUGAGACACGGCCCAAACUCCUACGGGAGGCAGCAGUGGGGAAUCUUGCGCCAUGGGCGAAAGCCUGACGCAGCCAUGCCGCGUGAAUGAUGAAGGUCUUAGGAUUGUAAAAUUCUUUCCCCGGGGACGAUAAUGACGGUACCCGGAGAAGAAGCCCCGGCUAACUUCGUG
Molecule: ribosomal RNA, 434 nt
Filed under: uncultured bacterium
Lineage: Bacteria
Description: partial 16S ribosomal RNA
Rfam family: Bacterial small subunit ribosomal RNA
Source: RNAcentral